Molecule: ribosomal RNA, 460 nt
Filed under: uncultured bacterium
Lineage: Bacteria
Description: partial 16S ribosomal RNA
Rfam family: Bacterial small subunit ribosomal RNA
Source: RNAcentral
CCUACGGGCGGCAGCAGUGAGGAAUAUUGGUCAAUGGUCGAAAGACUGAACCAGCCAAGCCGCGUGAGGGAUGAAGGUUCUGAGUAUCGUAAACCUCUUUUGUAAGGGAGCAAAGACAGGGACGUGUCCCCGGAUGAGUGUACCUGAAGAAUAAGCAUCGGCUAACUCCGGGCCAGCAGCCGCGGUAAUACGGAGGAUGCAAGCGUUAUCCGGAUUUAAUGGGGUUAAAGGGUGCGUAGGCGGGUUGUUAAGGCAGAGGUCAAAAACCGGUGCUCAACCCCGGGACUGCGGUUGAAACUGGUAGUCUAGAGUGUGAGAGAGGUAGGCGGAAUGCGUGGUGUAGCGGUGAAAUGCAUAGAGAUCGCGCAGAACGCCGAUUGCGAAGGCAGCAUGCCGGACCAUCACUGACGUUGAGGCACGAAAGCGUGGGUAGCGAACAGGAUUAGAUACCCGGGUAGUC